RNAcentral lists this transfer RNA (74 nucleotides) under Candidatus Thermochlorobacter aerophilus. RNAcentral describes it as "Candidatus Thermochlorobacter aerophilum tRNA-Asp". It matches the Rfam family "tRNA". Rfam says of the family: Transfer RNA (tRNA) molecules are approximately 80 nucleotides in length. Their secondary structure includes four short double-helical elements and three loops (D, anti-codon, and T loops). RNAcentral also lists the same sequence under 1 other name. The record is from RNAcentral. Lineage: Bacteria; Pseudomonadati; Chlorobiota; Chlorobiia; Chlorobiales; Candidatus Thermochlorobacteriaceae.
GGAGCUGUAGCUCAGUUGGUUAGAGCGCCUGCCUGUCACGCAGGAGGCCGCGGGUUCGAGCCCCGUCAGCUCCG